CGCUUAGGCGUGUGACUGCGUACCUUUUGUAUAAUGGGUCAGCGACUUAUAUUCUGUAGCAAGGUUAACCGAAUAGGGGAGCCGAAGGGAAACCGAGUCUUAACUGGGCGUUAAGUUGCAGGGUAUAGACCCGAAACCCGGUGAUCUAGCCAUGGGCAGGUUGAAGGUUGGGUAACACUAACUGGAGGACCGAACCGACUAAUGUUGAAAAAUUAGCGGAUGACUUGUGGCUGGGGGUGAAAGGCCAAUCAAACCGGGAGAUAGCUGGUUCUCCCCGAAAGCUAUUUAGGUAGCGCCUCGUGAAUUCAUCUCCGGGGGUAGAGCACUGUUUCGGCAAGGGGGUCAUCCCGACUUACCAACCCGAUGCAAACUGCGAAUACCGGAGAAUGUUAUCACGGGAGACACACGGCGGGUGCUAACGUCCGUCGUGAAGAGGGAAACAACCCAGACCGCCAGCUAAGGUCCCAAAGUCAUGGUUAAGUGGGAAACGAUGUGGGAAGGCCCAGACAGCCAGGAUGUUGGCUUAGAAGCAGCCAUCAUUUAAAGAAAGCGUAAUAGCUCACUGGUCGAGUCGGCCUGCGCGGAAGAUGUAACGGGGCUAAACCAUGCACCGAAGCUGCGGCAGCGACGCUUAUGCGUUGUUGGGUAGGGGAGCGUUCUGUAAGCCUGUGAAGGUGUGCUGUGAGGCAUGCUGGAGGUAUCAGAAGUGCGAAUGCUGACAUAAGUAACGAUAAAGCGGGUGAAAAGCCCGCUCGCCGGAAGACCAAGGGUUCCUGUCCAACGUUAAUCGGGGCAGGGUGAGUCGACCCCUAAGGCGAGGCCGAAAGGCGUAGUCGAUGGGAAACAGGUUAAUAUUCCUGUACUUGGUGUUACUGCGAAGGGGGGACGGAGAAGGCUAUGUUGGCCGGGCGACGGUUGUCCCGGUUUAAGCGUGUAGGCUGGUUUUCCAGGCAAAUCCGGAAAAUCAAGGCUGAGGCGUGAUGACGAGGCACUACGGUGCUGAAGCAACAAAUGCCCUGCUUCCAGGAAAAGCCUCUAAGCAUCAGGUAACAUCAAAUCGUACCCCAAACCGACACAGGUGGUCAGGUAGAGAAUACCAAGGCGCUUGAGAGAACUCGGGUGAAGGAACUAGGCAAAAUGGUGCCGUAACUUCGGGAGAAGGCACGCUGAUAUGUAGGUGAAGCGACUUGCUCGUGGAGCUGAAAUCAGUCGAAGAUACCAGCUGGCUGCAACUGUUUAUUAAAAACACAGCACUGUGCAAACACGAAAGUGGACGUAUACGGUGUGACGCCUGCCCGGUGCCGGAAGGUUAAUUGAUGGGGUCAGCGCAAGCGAAGCUCUUGAUCGAAGCCCCGGUAAACGGCGGCCGUAACUAUAACGGUCCUAAGGUAGCGAAAUUCCUUGUCGGGUAAGUUCCGACCUGCACGAAUGGCGUAAUGAUGGCCAGGCUGUCUCCACCCGAGACUCAGUGAAAUUGAACUCGCUGUGAAGAUGCAGUGUACCCGCGGCAAGACGGAAAGACCCCGUGAACCUUUACUAUAGCUUGACACUGAACAUUGAGCCUUGAUGUGUAGGAUAGGUGGGAGGCUUAGAAGUGUGGACGCCAGUCUGCAUGGAGCCGACCUUGAAAUACCACCCUUUAAUGUUUGAUGUUCUAACGUUGACCCGUAAUCCGGGUUGCGGACAGUGUCUGGUGGGUAGUUUGACUGGGGCGGUCUCCUCCUAAAGAGUAACGGAGGAGCACGAAGGUUGGCUAAUCCUGGUCGGACAUCAGGAGGUUAGUGCAAUGGCAUAAGCCAGCUUGACUGCGAGCGUGACGGCGCGAGCAGGUGCGAAAGCAGGUCAUAGUGAUCCGGUGGUUCUGAAUGGAAGGGCCAUCGCUCAACGGAUAAAAGGUACUCCGGGGAUAACAGGCUGAUACCGCCCAAGAGUUCAUAUCGACGGCGGUGUUUGGCACCUCGAUGUCGGCUCAUCACAUCCUGGGGCUGAAGUAGGUCCCAAGGGUAUGGCUGUUCGCCAUUUAAAGUGGUACGCGAGCUGGGUUUAGAACGUCGUGAGACAGUUCGGUCCCUAUCUGCCGUGGGCGCUGGAGAACUGAGGGGGGCUGCUCCUAGUACGAGAGGACCGGAGUGGACGCAUCACUGGUGUUCGGGUUGUCAUGCCAAUGGCACUGCCCGGUAGCUAAAUGCGGAAGAGAUAAGUGCUGAAAGCAUCUAAGCACGAAACUUGCCCCGAGAUGAGUUCUCCCUGACCCUUUAAGGGUCCUGAAGGAACGUUGAAGACGACGACGUUGAUAGGCCGGGUGUGUAAGCGCAGCGAUGCGUUGAGCUAACCGGUACUAAUGAACCGUGAGGCUUAACCUU
This 2363-nucleotide ribosomal RNA is filed under the name Escherichia coli. Its description in RNAcentral is "partial 23S ribosomal RNA". It matches the Rfam family "Bacterial large subunit ribosomal RNA", at positions 582 to 2925 of the family's 2925-position model. The record is from RNAcentral. Lineage: Bacteria; Pseudomonadati; Pseudomonadota; Gammaproteobacteria; Enterobacterales; Enterobacteriaceae.